ACUGCUCAGUACGAACGCUGGCGGCGUGCCUAAUACAUGCAAGUCGAGCGGACAGAAGGGAGCUUGCUCCCGGAUGUUAGCGGCGGACGGGUGAGUAACACGUGGGUAACCUGCCUGUAAGACUGGGAUAACUCCGGGAAACCGGAGCUAAUACCGGAUAGUUCCUUGAACCGCAUGGUUCAAGGAUGAAAGACGGUUUCGGCUGUCACUUACAGAUGGACCCGCGGCGCAUUAGCUAGUUGGUGGGGUAAUGGCUCACCAAGGCGACGAUGCGUAGCCGACCUGAGAGGGUGAUCGGCCACACCUGGGGACUGAGACACGGCCCAGACUCCUACGGGAGGCAGCAGUAGUAGGGAAUCUUCGCAAUGGACGAAAGUCUCCGGGGCAACGCCGCGUGCGGUUUGGGGGCUAGUUUAAAGUCUGUUGUUAGGGAAGAACAAGUGCGAGAGUAACUGCUCGCACCUUGACGGUACCUAACCAGAAAGCCACGGCUAACUACGUGCCAGCAGCCGCGGUAAUACGUAGGUGGCAAGCGUUGUCCGGAAUUAUUGGGCGUAAAGGGCUCGCAGGCGGUUUCUUAAGUCUGAUGUGAAAGCCCCCGGCUCAACCGGGGAGGGUCAUUGGAAACUGGGAAACUUGAGUGCAGAAGAGGAGAGUGGAAUUCCACGUGUAGCGGUGAAAUGCGUAGAGAUGUGGAGGAACACCAGUGGCGAAGGCGACUCUCUGGUCUGUAACUGACGCUGAGGAGCGAAAGCGUGGGGAGCGAACAGGAUUAGAUACCCUGGUAGUCCACGCCGUAAACGAUGAGUGCUAAGUGUUAGGGGGUUUCCGCCCCUUAGUGCUGCAGCUAACGCAUUAAGCACUCCGCCUGGGGAGUACGGUCGCAAGACUGAAACUCAAAGGAAUUGACGGGGGCCCGCACAAGCGGUGGAGCAUGUGGUUUAAUUCGAAGCAACGCGAAGAACCUUACCAGGUCUUGACAUCCUCUGACAACCCUAGAGAUAGGGCUUUCCCUUCGGGGACAGAGUGACAGGUGGUGCAUGGUUGUCGUCAGCUCGUGUCGUGAGAUGUUGGGUUAAGUCCCGCAACGAGCGCAACCCUUGAUCUUAGUUGCCAGCAUUCAGUUGGGCACUCUAAGGUGACUGCCGGUGACAAACCGGAGGAAGGUGGGGAUGACGUCAAAUCAUCAUGCCCCUUAUGACCUGGGCUACACACGUGCUACAAUG
Molecule: ribosomal RNA, 1226 nt
Filed under: Bacillus sp. (in: firmicutes)
Lineage: Bacteria; Bacillati; Bacillota; Bacilli; Caryophanales; Bacillaceae
Description: bacterial SSU rRNA
Rfam family: Bacterial small subunit ribosomal RNA
Source: RNAcentral